AACGAACGUUGGCGGCGUGGAUUAGGCAUGCAAGUCGCGCGAAUCCCAGCAAUGGGGGAAGCGGCGUAAGGGGCAGUAAGGCGUGGACGACCUACCCGGCGGUCGGGGAUAGCCCGUCGAGAGACGGGGUAAUACCCGAUGACGUCGCAAGACCAAAGCUCCGGCACCGUCGGAGGGGUCCACGUGGUAUCAGCUAGUUGGUGGGGUAACGGCCCACCAAGGCUAAGACGCCUAGCGGGUGUGAGAGCACGACCCGCGCCACUGGCACUGAGACACUGGCCAGACACCUACGGGUGGCUGCAGUCGAGGAUCUUCGGCAAUGGGGGCAACCCUGACCGAGCGACGCCGCGUGGGCGACGAAGGCCUUCGGGUUGUAAAGCCCUGUCGAGGGGGAGAAAAGCCGAAAGGUUUGAUCCAUCCCUGGAGGAAGCACGGGCUAAGUUCGUGCCAGCAGC
RNAcentral lists this ribosomal RNA (455 nucleotides) under uncultured bacterium. Its description in RNAcentral is "bacterial SSU rRNA". It matches the Rfam family "Bacterial small subunit ribosomal RNA", at positions 28 to 515 of the family's 1533-position model. The record is from RNAcentral.